GUGAGAGCAACAACACCUGCCUUCUCCUUCUUGUAGCCUUUCGUUCCAGCAGAGUACAAGCAAGGUGUUGCUUCGCUAAUGAGCCGGGCAUUAUGUACGGUGCCUUUAGUUACUUUGGGAGCGUGGCGGCCAGGGAGGCGGAGCAUGUACCUGAGACACCCUUGGUUUCGCGUUGCCCCUCCAAACCUACGGAGGAGUGGGAGCGCAUCACGAUCAUUGCACUGUGGAUUGAAGGAGAGUCGUCAUCCUCCAUCGCUCGCAGGAUUGGCGUCAGUCCCUCCACCGUCAACAGAUGGAUCAGGAGGUGGAAGCAGGAAGGCCACGUGUUCAGCCGAUGUUCAUGUCCCGCUCCCUUUAGAUUAUCCAUUCAUAAUCACAAGGGAAGCUAGAGUUAGGUCGGCCACCAAGUCCGGCUAAGUAUGCACAGUAUUUGCAUGCUGGUCAGUCAGUACCCAGCCUUGUAGCGAGCGGAUGUUUUGGCAACAAUGUGUGAAGAUGCUCUGUAUUUGGCGCAGAGUUCUGGCACGUGAUGCUAAAGGGUUGAAAGACCGAUGUGCAAAUAUUCAUAAUGUGCAGUGAUUUCUAUGACGUUUUCAUCCGUAAUAAACAUUGCUGCUAUUGAAA
Molecule: long non-coding RNA, 624 nt
Organism: Portunus trituberculatus (swimming crab)
Lineage: Eukaryota; Metazoa; Arthropoda; Malacostraca; Decapoda; Portunidae
Exons: 2
Source: RefSeq, a predicted model, not a curated record